RNAcentral lists this ribosomal RNA (497 nucleotides) under uncultured bacterium. Its description in RNAcentral is "partial 16S ribosomal RNA". It matches the Rfam family "Bacterial small subunit ribosomal RNA", at positions 28 to 506 of the family's 1533-position model. The record is from RNAcentral.
GAUGAACGCUGGCGGCGUGCCUAAUACAUGCAAGUCGAGCGAACAGACGAGGAGCUUGCUCCUCUGACGUUAGCGGCGGACGGGUGAGUAACACGUGGAUAACCUACCUAUAAGACUGGGAUAACUUCGGGAAACCGGAGCUAAUACCGGAUAAUAUAUUGAACCGCAUGGUUCAAUAGUGAAAGACGGUUUUGCUGUCACUUAUAGAUGGAUCCGCGCCGCAUUAGCUAGUUGGUAAGGUAACGGCUUACCAAGGCAACGAUGCGUAGCCGACCUGAGAGGGUGACCGGGCCACCCAGGACCUGACCAACGGCCCAACUCCCCCGGGGGGGAAGCGAGGGGGAACUUUCCGCAAGGGGGGAAACCCCGACGGACCAACCCCCGGGUGGGUAGGAAGUUUUUCGGAUCGUAAACCUUUUUUUUUAGGGAAAAAAAAAUGUGUAAGUAACUUUCCCCGUUUUGACGGUACCUAAACAGAAAGCCCCGGCUAACUACGU